AUGAUAUUUUAAGCAACAUAUAAAAUACUUGACUCAUGCUAGGCACUGUCCUAAGAAACUAUUUCCGCAAUGUGAAAUAUUUUUUCAGAAUUAAAUAACCACUUCCCUGAUUAAUUUUAGAGGGUAUUCGAAGUUAAGUCAGCCUUUCCUAAUUAAUCAGAGAAUACAGGAAUCAGCAAAAUUAAUUAUAAACCAACAAGUUAAAUGUAAAAUCAAAAAAUGAUUGGAUACAAUAGAAUUAAGGUAAGGAACUUUAGGGAAUGAUAAGAGUAAUGAAAAGAGAC
Molecule: long non-coding RNA, 284 nt
Filed under: Capsicum annuum
Lineage: Eukaryota; Viridiplantae; Streptophyta; Magnoliopsida; Solanales; Solanaceae
Description: long non-coding RNA (CANN_LNC021440)
Source: RNAcentral